Molecule: long non-coding RNA, 955 nt
Filed under: Homo sapiens (human)
Lineage: Eukaryota; Metazoa; Chordata; Mammalia; Primates; Hominidae
Description: HSALNT0406179
Source: RNAcentral
GGGACUGGGCGCGCCAGGCCCGCGCGCUGAGGCCCCCUCCCCCGGCUCUGGCCACGCGGGCUGCUCUGCCUCUGUGAGUGUGCGGGACACAGAGCCAGGGGGAGGGAGGGCCGUGUUCUGCGGUCACAGGCAGACAGGAGUGCCGGAAGAUGCAGUCUGGAGCCCCCGGGGGACUACGGUUCCGGCCCAGCAGCAGCCGCCAUCCCCACGUUGGGUGGCGAGAUCCGAAAGUUUCCAGCUACGAACAGUUUGCUUUUUUUUUUUCCUUGAUCGCUUUUUUUGGCAAGGGCGGAGAGCACCAGUAGCGUGGGGGGUUUAAAUGCACUUUCCCUGAAUGCAACAGAGAAAUGCCGGGCUGGAGGGCAAACUCCACCGGGACAGGGAGGCGGGAGAUAGCCUGAGCGCCCCCCCAUCCCCCACACUCUGAGCGUCGCAACCCCGGGGGCACCUCCAGGGACUACUUGCCUUGUGCGUCAGCGAGUGACAGCGUCACACACACGCCCCCUCCCGCACAUGCCCGCUGCACCCUCCCUUUCCCCCUCCCCUUCCCUUCUCUCUUUUCCCCUAGCUCUUCCCACCAGGCAGAGAGGCUCAGCCGACCCACACGCUCCCAGAGCACUGAAAGCUAAAAAUAUAGCCGGUGUGUUAGCAACAGCCUUCCCAUUGGUCGGGGGAAAGGGAGAAGCGGUGUCUGAUUGGGUUUAGGAUCCAGCCGCUAAGACUGGGCCCUUGGGAGUGUGCGUUUGCGCCAGCGGGCACGGCAAGGGAUGCUGGUAUUUGUAGUCAUUGAUUAAGGCAGCCAUGUAAAUAGGUGGGUUUACAUCCCAGUUCGGCUACCGACUGUGUGAUCUUGAUUUAAUGCAGCAAAACGCUUGACAUCACCAAACCUCAGUUUCCCCAUCUAUAAAAUGGAGCUCGUGUCGGGGAUUAAAUAUGAUGCUGUAUGUAAAGCCUG